CCAGCUCCAAUAGCGUAUAUUUAAGUUGUUGCAGUUAAAAAGCUCGUAGUUGGAUUUCGGAUGGAUCUCUGCGGUCCGGCUCUGCUGUGUACUGCUGCGGCCUAUCUUUCUGCCGGGGACGGGCUCCUGGGCUUAACUGUUCGGGACUCGGAGUCGGCGAUGUUACUUUGAGUAAAUUAGAGUGUUCAAAGCAAGCCUACGCUCUGAAUACAUUAGCAUGGAAUAACACGAUAGGACUCUGGCCUAUCUUGUUGGUCUGUAGGACCGGAGUAAUGAUUAAGAGGGACAGUCGGGGGCAUUCGUAUUUCAUUGUCAGAGGUGAAAUUCUUGGAUUUAUGAAAGACGAACUUCUGCGAAAGCAUUUGCCAAGGAUGUUUUCA
This 380-nucleotide ribosomal RNA is filed under the name uncultured Oogamochlamys. Its description in RNAcentral is "SSU rRNA". It matches the Rfam family "Eukaryotic small subunit ribosomal RNA", at positions 585 to 972 of the family's 1831-position model. The record is from RNAcentral. Lineage: Eukaryota; Viridiplantae; Chlorophyta; Chlorophyceae; Chlamydomonadales; Chlamydomonadaceae.